RNAcentral lists this ribosomal RNA (524 nucleotides) under uncultured bacterium. RNAcentral describes it as "partial 16S ribosomal RNA". It matches the Rfam family "Bacterial small subunit ribosomal RNA", at positions 28 to 523 of the family's 1533-position model. The record is from RNAcentral.
GACGAACGCUGGCGGCGUGCCUAAUACAUGCAAGUCGAGCGCAGGAAACUGACGGAACUCUUCGGAGGGAAGGCAGUGGAAUGAGCGGCGGACGGGUGAGUAACACGUAAGGAACCUGCCUCAAGGAUUGGGAUAACUCCGAGAAAUCGGAGCUAAUACCGGAUAGUUCAUCGGACCGCAUGGUCCGGUGAUGAAAGGCGCUCCGGCGUCACCUUGAGAUGGCCUUGCGGUGCAUUAGCUAGUUGGUGGGGUAACGGCCCACCAAGGCGACGAUGCAUAGCCGACCUGAGAGGGUGAUCCGCCACACUGGGACUGAGACACGGCCCAGACUCCUACGGGAGGCAGCAGUAGGGAAUCUUCCACAAUGGACGAAAGUCUGAUGGAGCAACGCCGCGUGAGUGAUGAAGGUUUUCGGAUCGUAAAACUCUGUUGUAAGGGAAGAACACGUACGAGAGGGAAUGCUCGUACCUUGACGGUACCUUACGAGAAAGCCACGGCUAACUACGUGCCAGCCGCCGCAGUAA